GUGGGGAAUAUUGGACAAUGGGGGCAACCCUGAUCCAGCCAUGCCGCGUGAAUGAUGAAGGCCUUCGGGUUGUAAAGUUCUUUUGGAGGGGACGAUGAUGACGGUAUCCUCAGAAUAAGCUCCGGCUAACUUCGUGCCAGCAGCCGCGGUAAUACGAAGGGAGCUAGCGUUGUUCGGAAUUACUGGGCGUAAAGGGCGCGUAGGCGGUUUGGUUAGUCAGAUGUGAAAGCCCAGGGCUUAACCCUGGAACUGCGUUUGAUACUGCCAAGCUUGAAUUCGGGAGAGGUGAGUGGAAUUCCGAGUGUAGAGGUGAAAUUCGUAGAUAUUCGGAGGAACACCAGUGGCGAAGGCGGCUCACUGGCUCGAUACUGACGCUGAGGUGCGAAAGCGUGGGGAGCAAACAGGAUUAGAAACCCCGGUAGUCC
This 425-nucleotide ribosomal RNA is filed under the name uncultured bacterium. Its description in RNAcentral is "partial 16S ribosomal RNA". It matches the Rfam family "Bacterial small subunit ribosomal RNA", at positions 354 to 796 of the family's 1533-position model. The record is from RNAcentral.